GGAAGUUACCAGUCGUAACAAGGUUUCCGUAGGUGAACCUGCGGAAGGAUCAUUA
Molecule: ribosomal RNA, 55 nt
Filed under: uncultured Glomus
Lineage: Eukaryota; Fungi; Glomeromycota; Glomeromycetes; Glomerales; Glomeraceae
Description: partial 18S ribosomal RNA
Rfam family: Eukaryotic small subunit ribosomal RNA
Source: RNAcentral